Molecule: ribosomal RNA, 451 nt
Filed under: uncultured bacterium
Lineage: Bacteria
Description: partial 16S ribosomal RNA
Rfam family: Bacterial small subunit ribosomal RNA
Source: RNAcentral
AGCGAACGCUGGCGGCAGGCUUAACACAUGCAAGUCGAGCGGGCACCUUCGGGUGUCAGCGGCGGACGGGUGAGUAACGCGUGGGAACGUGCCUUCUGGUUCGGAAUAACUCAGGGAAACUUGAGCUAAUACCGGAUACGCCCUUUUGGGGAAAGGUUUACUGCCGGAAGAUCGGCCCGCGUCUGAUUAGCUAGUUGGUGGGGUAACGGCCUACCAAGGCGACGAUCAGUAGCUGGUCUGAGAGGAUGAUCAGCCACACUGGGACUGAGACACGGCCCAGACUCCUACGGGAGGCAGCAGUGGGGAAUAUUGGACAAUGGGGGCAACCCUGAUCCAGCCAUGCCGCGUGAGUGAUGAAGGCCUUAGGGUUGUAAAGCUCUUUUAUCCGGGACGAUAAUGACGGUACCGGAGGAAUAAGCCCCGGCUAACUUCGUGCCAGCCGCCGCAGUAA